RNAcentral lists this ribosomal RNA (386 nucleotides) under uncultured bacterium. Its description in RNAcentral is "bacterial SSU rRNA". It matches the Rfam family "Bacterial small subunit ribosomal RNA", at positions 29 to 417 of the family's 1533-position model. The record is from RNAcentral.
AUUGAACGCUGGCGGCAUGCCUUACACAUGCAAGUCGAACGGCAGCACGGGGGCAACCCUGGUGGCGAGUGGCGAACGGGUGAGUAAUGCAUCGGAACGUGCCCCGUAGCGGGGGAUAACCAGUCGAAAGACUGGCUAAUACCGCAUACGCUCCACGGAGGAAAGCAGGGGAUCGCAAGACCUUGCACUAUGGGAGCGGCCGAUGCCCGAUUAGCUAGUUGGUGAGGUAAAGGCUCACCAAGGCGACGAUCGGUAGCUGGUUUGAGAGAACGACCAGCCACACUGGGACUGAGACACGGCCCAGACUCCUACGGGAGGCAGCAGUGGGGAAUUUUGGACGAUGGCGCAAGCCUGAUCCAGCCAUGCCGCGUGCGGGAUGAAGGCCU